CCUACGGGUGGCAGCAGUGGGGGAUAUUGCACAAUGGGGGGAACCCUGAUGCAGCGACGCCGCGUGGGUGAAGAAGCGCCUCGGCGCGUAAAGCCCUGUCAGCAGGGAAGAAAAUGACGGUACCUGAAGAAGAAGCCCCGGCUAACUACGUGCCAGCAGCCGCGGUAAUACGUAGGGGGCAAGCGUUAUCCGGAUUUACAGGGUGUAAAGGGGGCGCAGCCGGCAAUGCAAGCAAGGAGUGAAAGCCCGGGGCCCAACCCCGGGACUGCUCUUGGAACUGCAUGGAUGGAGUACAGGAGGGGCAGGCGGAAUUCCUAGUGUAGCGGUGAAAUGCGUAGAUAUUAGGAGGAACACCGGUGGCGAAGGCGGCCUGCUGGACUGUGACUGACGUUGAGGCCCGAAGGCGUGGGGAGCAAACAGGAUUAGAUACCCGUGUAGUC
Molecule: ribosomal RNA, 440 nt
Filed under: uncultured bacterium
Lineage: Bacteria
Description: partial 16S ribosomal RNA
Rfam family: Bacterial small subunit ribosomal RNA
Source: RNAcentral